Molecule: long non-coding RNA, 973 nt
Filed under: Trifolium pratense (red clover)
Lineage: Eukaryota; Viridiplantae; Streptophyta; Magnoliopsida; Fabales; Fabaceae
Description: long non-coding RNA (TPRA_LNC003545)
Source: RNAcentral
UUUACACAAACGAUACAACUCCAUUAAAAUAGUAAACUUAAUAUUAAAUUUGAAUUUGAAUCAAAAUUAACUACAAAUAAAAAAGUAUAAAAACGUGGGGCCAAAUUUGAAUUUUAUUUAAACAACAUUUAUUUGAAUAAAAAACUAUUUUGAUAAAUCGUAGAUUUUUUAAAUCUUCGGUGACAAUUCAACCCGACAAAAAUAAUUUAACGUUUAUCCACUUUAGUUCUUUAUUUUUCACUGGUGGUAAACAUUAAACACCAGAAAUAAAAGAACUGAAAAUUUGAAUCUACUUGAAGAGUCAAAAUCACAUAUUGAUCAAAAUUUCCAAGCUAGAAAUGAAAGAACUAAAAUUGCAGCUUUAGCAAAAUAAGAUAAUUCAAUAUUUCCAAACUAGAAAUGAAAGAACUAAAAUUGCAGUUUUAGCAAAAUAAGAUAAUUCAAUAUUUCCAAACUAGAAAUGAAAGAACUAAAAUUGCAGUUUUAGCAAAAUAAGAUAAUCAAAACAGCAUUUAAAAAUAAUGUUAAUGGCUUGCUAACUUUAGCCUCUCAUUAGAUUCCUCAGUUUGUGUUAGAAUGAAGACUCCUCCUAGCGAGCUCCGUCAAUUUAUCUUUGAUGAUUUUUCUGGAGCUUGCAUGCCUAGAAAUGUUCCUUUAGUUUUUAGUUUCUUGUUGGGCUUCGACUCUCUUUUGUACCAAAAAAAUAAUGUUAAUAGCAUACUAUGAGAGAGGAUUCUCUCAUGUUAAAUUUAUGUAAUUUUUUUUUCAACUAUUGAUUUAGAUGGAGGGAAAAGAGGAAAAGAAGAAAAAGGUGAAUUAAAGGGUAAGGAUUGAAAAUAUUUAGGAACAUGAGGAAAAGAAAAUUGAGAGAAUCCAUUCUCGUAAGUCUCGACCCCACGGAACACUCCAAGAGUGAGAUUACUUAAAAAGAGUCCUUAAAAACUACUGUGAACUUCAUUGAUGUAGCUCUUGC